AGGAUUCCCCUAGUAACGGCGAGUGAAGCGGGAAAAGCUCAAAUUUGAAAUCUGGCGGUCUACGGCCGUCCGAGUUGUAGUCUAGAGAGGUGUCUUCUGCGUCGGACCAUGCACAAGUCCCUUGGAACAGGGCGUCAUAGAGGGUGAGAAUCCCGUCCGUGGCAUGGACUCCCGGUGCUUUGUGAUGCGCCUUCGAAGAGUCGAGUUGUUUGGGAAUGCAGCUCAAAAUGGGUGGUAAAUUCCAUCUAAGGCUAAAUACAGGCGAGAGACCGAUAGCGAACAAGUACCGUGAGGGAAAGAUGAAAAGCACUUUGGAAAGAGAGUUAAACAGUACGUGAAAUUGUUGAAAGGGAAACGCUUGGAGUCAGUCGCGUUUGCCGGGACUCAGCCUUGCUUCUGCUUGGUGCACUUCCUGGUACACGGGCCAGCAUCGAUUUUGAUCGCCGGAAAAAGGCUUGGGGAAGGUGGCACCUUCGGGUGUGUUAUAGCCCCUUGUUGUAUACGGUGGUUGGGAUUGAGGACCGCAGCACGCCUNUUGGUCGGGGUUCGCCCACGCCACGUGCUUAGGAUGCUGGCGUAAUGGCUUUAAACGACCCGUCUUGAAACACGGACCAAGGAGUCUAACAUGCCUGCGAGUGUUUGGGUGUAAAACCCAGGCGCGUAAUGAAAGUGAAAGGUUGGGACUCUUCGCUGAGGCACCGACGCCCGAUCCUGACGUUCUCUGACGGAUUUGAGGUAGAGCAUGUAUGUUGGGACCCGAAAGAUGGUGAACUAUGCCUGAAUAGGGCGAAGCCAGAGGAAACUCUGGUGGAGGCUCGUAGCGAUUCUGACGUGCAAAUCGAUCGUCAAAUUUGGGUAUAGGGGCGAAAGACUAAUCGAACCAUCUAGUAGCUGGGUUCCUGC
This 903-nucleotide ribosomal RNA is filed under the name Pseudohydnum gelatinosum. RNAcentral describes it as "partial large subunit ribosomal RNA". It matches the Rfam family "Eukaryotic large subunit ribosomal RNA", at positions 71 to 962 of the family's 3401-position model. The record is from RNAcentral. Lineage: Eukaryota; Fungi; Basidiomycota; Agaricomycetes; Auriculariales.